AGUGAACGCUGGCGGUAGGCCUAACACAUGCAAGUCGAACGGCAGCACAGUAAGAGCUUGCUCUUACGGGUGGCGAGUGGCGGACGGGUGAGGAAUACAUCGGAAUCUACUUUUUCGUGGGGGAUAACGUAGGGAAACUUACGCUAAUAUCGCAUACGACCUACGGGUGAAAGCAGGGGAUCUUCGGACCUUGCGCGAUUGAAUGAGCCGAUGUCGGAUUAGCUAGUUGGCGGGGUAAAGGCCCACCAAGGCGACGAUCCGUAGCUUGUCUGAGAGGAUGAUCAGCCACACUGGAACUGAGACACGGUCCAGACCCCUACGGGAGGCAGCAGUGGGGAAUAUUGGACAAUGGGCGCAAGCCUGAUCCAGCCAUACCGAGUGGGUGAAGAAGGCCUUCGGGUUGUAAAGCCCUUUUGUUGGGAAAGAAAAGCAGCAGGUUAAUACCCCGCUGUUCUGACGGUACCCAAAGAAUAAGCACCGGCUAACUUCGUG
RNAcentral lists this ribosomal RNA (492 nucleotides) under uncultured bacterium. Its description in RNAcentral is "partial 16S ribosomal RNA". It matches the Rfam family "Bacterial small subunit ribosomal RNA", at positions 29 to 507 of the family's 1533-position model. The record is from RNAcentral.